AGUGGCAGACGGGUGAGUAACAUGUAGGUAUCUGCCCUUUGGCCUGGAAUAACACGAGGAAACUUGUGCUAAUACCGGAUAAGUCUUUACGGAGAAAGCUUUAUGCACCAUUGGAUGAGCCUGCACUUGAUUAGUUUGUUGGUGGGGUAAUGGCCUACCAAGACUGUGAUCAAUAGCUGAUUUGAGAGGAUGAUCAGCCACAUUGGGACUGAGACACGGCCCAAACUCCUACGGGAGGCAGCAGUGGGGAAUCUUGCACAAUGGAGGAAACUCUGAUGCAGCGAUGCCGCGUGAGUGAAGAAGGCCCUUGGGUUGUAAAGCUCCUUCGUCGGGGAAGAAAAUGACUGUACCCGAAUAAGAAGGUCCGGCUAACUUCGUGCCAGCAGCCGCGGUAAUACGAAGGGACCUAGCGUAGUUCGGAAUUACUGGGCUUAAAGAGUUCGUAGGUGGUUGAAAAAGUUAGUGGUGAAAUCCCAGAGCUUAACUCUGGAACUGCCAUUAAAACUUUUCAGCUAGAGUAUGAUAGAGGAAAGCAGAAUUUCUAGUGUAGAGGUGAAAUUCGUAGAUAUUAGAAAGAAUACCAAUUGCGAAGGCAGCUUUCUGGAUCAUUACUGACACUGAGGAACGAAAGCAUGGGUAGCGAAGAGGAUUAGAUACCCUCGUAGUCCAUGCCGUAAACGAUGUGUGUUAGACGUUGGAAAUUUAUUUUCAGUGUCGACAGGGAAACCGAUAAACACACCGC
Molecule: ribosomal RNA, 742 nt
Filed under: uncultured Alphaproteobacteria bacterium
Lineage: Bacteria; Pseudomonadati; Pseudomonadota; Alphaproteobacteria
Description: bacterial SSU rRNA
Rfam family: Bacterial small subunit ribosomal RNA
Source: RNAcentral